UGAAGAAUGUGGCUCACUGGAAGAGCCUCUGUUUUUCAUGCAGAAGGCCCUAGGUUCAAUCCCCCACAUCUCAG
Molecule: transfer RNA, 74 nt
Filed under: Sphaerodactylus townsendi
Lineage: Eukaryota; Metazoa; Chordata; Lepidosauria; Squamata; Sphaerodactylidae
Description: tRNA-Glu
Source: RNAcentral